RNAcentral lists this ribosomal RNA (497 nucleotides) under uncultured bacterium. RNAcentral describes it as "partial 16S ribosomal RNA". It matches the Rfam family "Bacterial small subunit ribosomal RNA", at positions 28 to 507 of the family's 1533-position model. The record is from RNAcentral.
GAUGAACGCUGGCGGCGUGCCCAAUACAUGCAAGUCGAGCGAACGGACGAGAAGCUUGCUUUUCUGAUGUUAGCGGCGGACGGGUGAGUAACACGUGGAUAACCUACCUAUAAGACUGGGAUAACUUCGGGAAACCGGAGCUAAUACCGGAUAAUAUUUUGAACCGCAUGGUUCAAAAGUGAAAGACGGUCUUGCUGUCACUUAUAGAUGGAUCCGCGCUGCAUUAGCUAGUUGGUAAGGUAACGGCUUACCAAGGCAACGAUGCAUAGCCGACCUGAGAGGGUGAUCGGCCACACUGGAACUGAGACACGGUCCAGACUACUACGGGAGGCAGCAGUAGGGAAUCUUCCGCAAUGGGCGAAAGCCUGACGGAGCAACGCCGCGUGAGUGAUGAAGGUCUUCGGAUCGUAAAACUCUGUUAUUAGGGAAGAACAUAUGUGUAAGUAACUGUGCACAUCUUGACGGUACCUAAUCAGAAAGCCACGGCUAACUACGUG